CGGAGGGAGUACAUAAAUUGCCAAGUUAUGUUCUCUAUUGCCCAAACACUCGCCAAGACUACCUUAUCAAAGGAUCAAGGAGAUACUAGUAACUAGCCAAGUUAGGAGGAAUGACAGCCAUAUCUUGCUUUGUUUCUUCAGAUCCAAACGCACACUAAAGGCCUUUCUUCCCGAUAAAAACUGGUCUGUCAAGCCCUGAAAUAGUUACGCUGUACGUCAGAUGUAGAAACACACAUGUCACAAUUGCAAGGACAAACAUAACUGCUCCCCUCCUCAGUUUAUCGCAAAAGAUAAAUUCCCUCUCUAAUACAUAAUUAAUUAAAUGGAGGCGGUAUCCCAGAAUAAUCUCAUACAUAAUGAAGAUGCACGUGUGAUGAUUUAUAAAAUGGAUUAUGCUAACCUUUGAGUCCUUCAUUUUCCAUGCACGUGGGAUUUCCCACAAUUUAUGCAGGGGCUAAAAUAUCAUACUGUUAAGCACCAGAAUCAGCUCUUUCAGUCCUCAAUUUCACAGGAACAAUUUCAUCUUAUGACUGCCGUAAAAUUCAGUACAUACUACUAAUGCAAAUUUCACUCUCCAACUAAGAUUUUUAAUGAGGCACUCUUCGCUACUAAUAUUAUCAAGCAUAAUCAAAUAUCUCACAAUAUCAGCAGGCAAUCAACAAGGUGGGGAAAAUAUCUGGUGCACCGGAGCUUGUGGUGCUACCGAUGCACCGAACUCACAUUGUGCUUUUAAAACGUUCAAAAAAUUCUGCAAAAAAAUUAGUACUCACACAACAUCAAUGUAGGUUGUCACAAAAUUUCAAGUCAAAAUUCGAAACAUAACUCAAAAAACAAAAAUGAAAAAUUCAACACUGAGUAGUACAUAACAUUAACUUGGGCUUUAGAUUUGGCCCAUUUUCACACUGACGCCAAAUUUGUCAUUUUUGUAUCUCAAAAAAUAUUUUGAAUUUGUAUACGAUUUUUUGUGACAUCAUACAUUGAUGUUGUGUUAAGGUGCUAGAAUUUUUUCAUAUUUUUAAAAAUAUUCGAUAGCAUUCGGUGCACCAGUAGCACCACAAGUGUGGGUGCACCGGAUACAUUCCCCAACAAGAUGGACCAUCAACAUGCAUUUUUGGAACUAGAAUGUGGCACAGAGAAAUACGAUCAACAACUAGGGAGUGGAAAUUAUGCUCUUCUAUUACAAAGGGAUAACAGUUAGUACUUGGUACUCCCUCCGUGAAGAAAUAUAAGAGUGUUUUGAUCACUACUUUAGUGAUCUAAUCACUCUUAUAUUUCUUUAGAGGGAGUAGCAUCUAAGGCCUAAUAUAAAUAAAGGCUUGUGUGACUGACAGGCAUACAACAACCAAUUAAAACACUAUUUUUCUGCAGAACCUAAAUAUUGUACAAGGAACAUCUUUACCUCUCGUGUGAAAGAAACCCUAUGCAAACAAGGUUAGACAAUUAAAAAUACAUAGUUUACAUUACCGCAAGUAAAAGGAAUGCACCUUUAGUUUGAAAUGGAAUGUCUGAUAAGCCUACCUUACAGGGAGAUUCAAAAGAAUUAUCAUGGAACCUUGAUUUAAAUCUUUUCAACUUGCUGAUUGCUGGACUAUCAAGGAGAUCAAGUAGAAGAGGGUUAAGUCCUCUUGGUUUGUGGGUUGAGUCGACCAAAAAUUCAGCAAAUAUUGACAGUCGUUUUCAUUGCAAUGGAAAUAAAUCCAUCUAGAAACUGCUAGGAGCCAAGCAUUGCUCCAGACAACAUGAAACACAGAACAGAAGUUAAAUUACUCAUGUCAUUAGAUGGAUAAUCACAAUAAUUUUACUUGUGACAUUGGGGUAGAGGUGGGAUGCAAAUCCUCACAAUGGCAAAGUGUUGGUAUGGCGCUAGCUAAGCUUGUAAUUACUGUUGUUCCCCAAAAGCUCGAGACAUUGCCGUUCGAAUAAAUCCAACUUGAAUUCUGUGAAGUAGGCUAAUGGCAACUAAACAAGAAAAUUAUGUGAUGCACUGUAUCUGGACUUCUGGAGUGAGCAGAGAUUUGGGAGCAUUACUGAAGAAUAUACGCGAUUCUAAAGAAUACACACGCAAUGAAAAAGGGCUGAGAAACUCUGUCCUUGCCAGAAUCCGUACCAGCCUCGAGGGGACACAGGCCUUCCAUCGGCAGGAAGAUGCGAUGCCCCAGGCCCGAAUCCUCUGCAGUCGAUUUCACAUGCUGAUGCCCACCCCCGAAUCAACCGAGAGCAGAAGCACAACAGUAGGGACGAUGUAAUGUGUCGCCGUGAAGCCGAGGCCCCGAUUCCUCCGCGUCUGAAGCCAAGCGCUGACGAGGACACCCAACGCAAAACCGCCCGCUCGUGGCCAAAACCGAUCGACCCUCGCCUCCGACCUCGAUGCUGCUGGUAGCGGAGCCGCGUUUCCCAGAAACUGCGGGGAGGCUAGCUCGCAAUACCCACGACCAAAUUUUCUUUUCCUCGCUAACAUAAAGAAAAUCAUUGUCUGCAGCCGUGGUGGGAAUUGUUUUUUGCUUUUGGUGGACCAACCGAGCGGAUACGAAGGGAGUCCGGCUCGGUGGGUCGUUCGACCGAGAGAGAGCUGGAACAGGGGCUCCAAGAGGAAGAAGCAAGCAAGUGGAGGAGGUGGCUGCACCAUUUGCUCUGCUUGCUUCUCUGCACUUACGCAGCUGCUGGGGUUUCGGUCCAAGCCAAAGGGGAGUAGCCGCCGUUUCAGGCGCCCUGACUUCCCUUCAUCUUCUCCAGCAGCCUGUGCUAGACAAGGGGAGAUAAAACCCCACAGUUCCGCACCUGCUGCUCCUUGUGCCCCAUGCCGACCUCUCCUCCACCCCUGAUGCAUGCACCGGCUAGAGCUCAGGCCUCCAUGCUCCCUCGGCCGCUAGCCUAAUGACCGUCCCUACGACCCUGAGCGUCUCCGCCAACCCUGAGUAUGAUAACGACAUGAUCAUCAAUUGGCGACGACCCUCAGUAUAUUGCCUUUGUGAAGGCACGUCUUAGUGAGCAGUUUCUUAUGUCUGAUUUUGGCCUACUUUCUUGGGAUAGAGGUCUCUUCUACCAUUGAUGGUUUUUUUUUAUUUUCUAAGAAAAAUAUAUCCAGAAUCUUCUUGCUCAUGCUGCUCUUACAGAUGAGUGCACUGUUGAGACUCCCAUGGAGUCAAUGUUCACCUUCGUGCUAGUGAUGGUGACCCUUGUCUAAUCCGACGUGUUAUCAUCAUCUUGUUGGGAGUCUUGUUUAUCUAGAUGUUACUCGUCCAGAUAUCUCCUAUCCCGUCCAUAGUUUGAGUCAGUUUGUCUUUGCACCCACAUUGGUUCACUAUAGUCACCUCCUCCUUCGUGUUCUCUGAUAUCUUCGUGGCACGAUCUCUCACCGUAUGUUCUUUCCCUGCUCUAGUUCAUUAUAGCUUCAGGCCUAUUCAAAUGCUACGUGGACUAGUGAUCCCUGGGAUCGUCGUUCACUUUUUGCUUAUUGUGUUUUUCUUGAUGGUUCUGUCACUGCCUCGAAGACAAAGAAACAGACUACAAUUUCACGUUUGGGUGCAGAGCCUGAGCCUCGAGCUCUGGCUCUUUUGACGGCAAAGGUGAGUUGGUUACGAUGGUUACUUCAGAAGUUUGGUACUUCUGUCACUACACCUACUUUGCUCCUAUUUGACAAUACAGGUGCUCAUAGUGUUGCGCGCGACCCAGUGAAGAAUGAGCUCACCAAGCAUAUUGGCGUUGAUGCUUUUUUGUGUGUGCUGGUGUGCAAAAUUCAGGUUAUUGCACCUCAGUAUGUGCCUUCGGAGUUACUGUUGGCAGAUUUCUUUAGGAAAGCCCAAACUAGAGCACAACACGACUUCUAUAUCUAUCUCUCCAAGCUCGGUGUUGUUGAUCCACCAUGAGUUUGAGGGAGGGGGAGUUAAGAGUUAUAUAUUUAGUCGUGUACCCCUUUGUAUUGUCCCCGCUCUGUAAAGGUUUUUUUUUGCAUAUUGUAAAACACUUGUACGUGUAUACAAUGGCAUAUGGCCACCUGGAAACACAGUUGCAUAUUUCCUAACAGGAACCUCCCUCCUUGUUAAUGGCCAAACACUUCUUAGCACUUUUGUCCUUUCAUGUUCAUCAACAUACGAUGCAGCUCAUUUCUGGUGGUCAGAUUGUUGACUCUGGUUGUCGGGUAAUUCUCGACUUUGACGCAUGCUUUGUUUUGGACCGUCACACUGGUGCUAUCCUUGGUGCUGGCCCCCNNNNNNNNNNGUCCACCCAUCCCACCGUGUCUUCCCAUACUACUGUUGUAGACCCCACACCGUCGUCACUUGCAGCUUCCCCACCUCGUUCAUUACCUGAGGCUUCCCCAUUGAUUCCCCCUCAUCAUCUUCUUUACUACACUGGUCAUCCGCGUGUUGUGAAUUCUUCUGAUGAGCCAUCUCCCUCGACUAUUGUCUUCUUCUGUUGGCAACUCACCGCCUCCAGCUUAGCCUACUUAUGGCUUUCGAGCUCGCCCGCUUCCGCCUACUGACCGCUAUGGUUAUUCUAGCACCGCUCUUCUCGAGACGACUUAUCAUGACGUUGUUGCUCAUCCUAAAUGGCAGCAUGUGAUGACAUCGGAGAUUGAUGCUCUUUCGCACAUUGGCACGUGGGAUCUCAUUUCCCUUCCUCCUCGUGCUCGUCUCAUCACUUGUAUGUGGGUCUACAAGGUUAAGACUGAUGGUUCUCUUGAGCAUUACAAAACUCGUCUAGUGAUGUGAACAUGGUCAUGACUACGAUGAGACAUUUGCCCCUAUGGCCCACAUGACCACUCUUCGCACGCUUUUCAUUGUGGCUUCUCUUCCCGAUGACAUGGUUUGUCGUCUUUGUCGCUAUCUAUAUGGCCUUAAGUAAACCCCUCGUGUCUGGUCUGAGUGCUUCAUCUCAAUAGUGAUUGCGGCUGGUUUUCGGUGAGUGCUCAUGAUCCUGCACUUUUUGUCUACAUUUCAACUCGUGGGCGAACUCUUCUAUAUGUCGAUCAUCACCGACAACGAUUCUAAGUACAUUGCCUUUGUGAAGGCUCGUCAUAGUGAGUUUCUUAUGUCUGAUAUUGGUCCUCUUCGCUACUUUCUUGAGACUGAGGUUUCUUCUACCUUUAAUGGCUUCUUUAUUUCCCAAGAGUAUAUCCAGGAUUUUCUUGCUCUUACUGAUAAGCGCACUAUUAAGACUCCUAUGAAGCUCAACUUCCACUUUGUAUCCACCUCCGCUCCCUACCAGUCCGAGUGGGCAUCCGUUGCCUCGUUGUGGGUUACUGUGUGUGUUGCCUCGAUCCCACAUCUUGUCUUCCCUUGUUGGGCGGCCGCAUCACCGCACACUCAGGCACCACCAUCGGCGAGCAGGAGCACGAGCAAGCGUCCUUUUGACCUUGUUCAGUCUUAUGUCUGGGCCCAUCUCCCUUUGCCUUGGAAGGAGGUCAUCACUAGUAAAUUAUCUUUAUAGAUGAUUUCUCUUAACACACAUGGAUAUACUUUAUUUCUUCCAGGCGUGCAAUCUGUGCGACGGAACAUGGCCAAUUUUCAGGGGCCGUGAAAUUCCUAGUACAAGGCAGCCUAUAGCAAGCAGCAGCCAGCAGGCCUGCUACUCGAUAUCCAGCAUGGGCUUGUAAGCCGCCCCGCUAGCGCUAGCGCGUCUAGCCGUCCAGGCUGUAUAGAGUCUCCCAUGGAGCCCAUACGUCGAGCAAUCAAGGCAUCGAGCCAUCGAGGACACCAACUCGAGUGGACGAGUCCUCUCCAACGCCGCCUCCUGCCCUCAUCUCUUGUCUGUUCGUCUCCUCUCUCUUUUUCCAGUACGACGCUUGAAGCUCAGCGAUCCUCCAUCAGUCCAUCCCCAUCCAAUUCAGCAUGUGACGCUUCUAUCAGCUGUCGGCCAUCGAUCCGUGAGUUCCGCAGAUCGCAUUCAAUCUAGCAAUUUUAAUUUGUGCCAAUAGCUGGUUGAUAAUUCUGUUAUUUUAUAGAAGUACUUAGAAUUUACUUUUCAAUAUCAUCACCGGAUAAUUUUGUUAUUUAUGUUCUCUUCUAUAUGUCGAUCAUCACCGACAACUCUAUCUUUUCUAUACACGUUUCAAGAUCCUCAAGAUAGAGAACAUAAAUCCGGUGACCAAAAGAAUUUGAAAAAAACAUAAAACAGACAAGUUAAUCGAAAGGAGCCAUGGAUAAGUUUGUUGCAAAAGAACCACACGUAUCCUCUAAUAAUCAAUCACAGGAUCAAGGCCUCACGGUUGAUAAUAAUGUUGACCCUGAUGUUGACAAUGAUCAUAGAGAUGAACAAGCAGAGAAAGAAAAUAAUGAUGAGGUUGAUGAUGAUCUUAUUGGUAAAACAGACAUUGAUAUGGAUAAUAAUGGUGAUGACAUCGGGACAACUAGUAUUGAUGUUAACUCAAAUACUUCACCUGUUGCGGAUGUCAGUGGUUCUUUUCAUGUUAAUAUAUUUGAUCCAAGAAAUUGGGGUUCUCUUGAUCCUAAGCAGAUUGACAUUUUAGCACAAAAGGCCCUAAAAGAGACUCACAAUUUCAAAAAGGUCUUAAGAACAGAUAUUCUAGCAGGUUUUCUGCACUAUUCAAUACUAGAAUUAUGUCAAAUGGGGAGCAUUGCGAUAGAGAUUGGCUUGUCUAUUCUAAGGAACUCGAUAGACUAUUUUGCUUUGGUUGUAAAUUAUUUACAAAAGGGCAUAGAAAAGGUCAAUUGGCAAACGAGGGGUGUGAUGAUUGGAUACAUCUUGGCAGUACACUUAAAGAGCAUGAGACAAGUGUAGAUCAUGUUUUGAAUAUGACCACUUGGUAUGAGCUCUGUACUACUAGAUUGCAAAAGCAUCAAACUAUUGAUAAAGAUGCUCAAGGACAACUUGAGAAUAAAAAGGAGCACUGGAGAAAAAAUUUGUUCAGAAUUGUUUGCAUUAUUAAAUUUCUUGCCAAGCAUAAUCUAGCCUUUCAUGGUAGUAACAGCAAACUGUAUGAAGACAGCAAUGGGAAUUUCUUGGGUCUGUAGAGAUGUUGGAUGAAUUUAACACAGUUAUUCAAGAGCAUGCUUGUAAUGAAGAAACUCAUGCUCAUCAUCUUGAUCAUAAGAUUUAGAAUGAGUUGAUACACUUGUUUGCUUCAGCUAUUAAUUGUUAAGAAAAUAAAGAGUGCAAAAUAUUUCUCGGUCAUACUUGAUUGUACCCUGAUGCAAGCCACCAAGAACAUAUAUUUCCUUUCUUUUCAUUUUAGGUAUCCGCAACUGAUAAUGAUAUAAAACGAGCAGCGAGGCAAAAGGUUUGGCAAAUAAUGAACCUGGGGAGUAUGAAUUUAUAGUGGCAAUAGUAAUUUGGUCUGAGGUACUAUAUGUUGUUAAUUUAGUAAGCAAAAACUUGCAAGCAAAGAAUAUGCUUAUAGAUGUUGCUAUUGAGAAAGUGAAAGGGUUGAUUUUUUUUCGAAGGGUAUAGAGAAAGUGGAUUUUUAGAAGCAUUGGAGAUAGCCAAAAAAUUGCACUUGAUAUGGUUAUUAGUACAACAUUUCAUGAAAGACGAGAAAUUAAAAGAAAGAGACAUUUUGAUGAGAACCCAGAUGACACAACUGUUGCCACACAGUCUACAGAGGAAUCAUUUAGAAACGGUUAUUUUCCAACUAUUGUCGUUCAAGCAAUUAUGUCACUUACAAGCAGAUUUGAACAAUACGAGGUUAGCAGAAAAAUUUUCAUUUCUUAUUUACUUCCAAAUCAUUGCAGUCGUUGGAUAAUGGGAGCUUGAAAUCUUCUUGUGAUAAUCAUGAGGCAGCCCUUAAAAAGAUGGCAAAUCUGACAUUUAUGCCAAUGAACUGUAGUGGAGUUGAGGUUACUUAAAGAUUCCAUUCCAAAGGAUGAUAUGGGGCCAGUUGAAAUUCUAAAGUUUUUAGAGUGACAUGAUUGGAAAUUCUAAACUUUUUAAAGUGACAUGAUUGUUUUCCCACUACAGGUAUUGCAUACAUAGUUCUAUUGACCAUUCCUAUGACUUUUGCAUCAGCAGAAAGAAGCUUUUCAAAAUUGAAGCUAUUGAAGUCCUAUAUGUGUACUAAAAUGACACAACAAAGGCUUACUGAUUUGGCUACAACAGCACUUGAGAGUGAAGUGUUGGAGAACAUUGAUUACAAGGAUAUAUUUGAAGAUUUCAUUUCAAAGAACACUAAAAGAAUGUUGUUAUUCAAGUAAAGACUAUGCAACCAAGCUUCUGAUAGGUAUGAGCAAGGUAAUCUUGCUCAAUUCUCUUGUCCUGGUGCAUAUGCUCAGAAUGGCGAGGCUGAGUGCAAGCAUCGUCACCUUCUUGAGAUGGCUCGUCCGUUGAUAGUCACUACCUCUCUUCCGCCGCACUUUUGGGCCGAGUUUGUCCCCACUUCCAUCUAUCUCAUCAAUCUUCAGCAAUCCACUGCUCUGAAGGGUGGCACUCCUUUUCAAGCGUCAAUUUGAUGGUUUCCUGAUUAUUCGGCACUUCAAUUGUCUUUGUCACUGUCUAUAUGGCCCUAAGCGAACCCCUCGUGGCUGGUUUGAGUGCUUUGUCUCAGUGGUGAUUGCCGCUAGUUUUUGGCGAGUGCUCAUUAUCCAACACUUUUGGUCCACCAUUCAACUCGUGGUCGAACACUUCUACAAGUCGAUCAUCACUAGCAAAGACUCUAAGUACAUUGCCUUGGUGAAGGCUCUUCAUAGUGAAUUUCUUAUGCCCAAUCUUGGUCCUCUUCAGUACUUCCUUGAGAUUGAGGUUUCUUCUACCUCUAGUGACUUCUUUAUUUUCUAAGAGAAGUAUGUCUAGGAUCUUCUUACUCAUGCUACUCUUACUGAUAAGCGCAUGGUUGAGACUCCUAUGGAGUCAACGUCCACCUUUGUGACCACCUCCGCUACCUACCAAUCUGGAUGGGCAUCCAUUGCCUUGCUGCGGGUUGCUACGAGCACUGUCUCAAUCCCACAUCCCGUGUUCCCUUUAUGUGUGACGCCAUAACCGCACGCUCGGGCACCACCAAUGAUGAGCAAGAGCUCGAAAAGUCGAUGCAUACCUCGAUUAUGCAUAGGACGAGCCGAGGACAGGCGCUACCUAAAGUUGGGGUCAAGGGCGCCCGAAGAGACAUUUACUCCUAUAUAUAUGGCCCACGUGACCACUCUUCGCACACUUCCUCAAUAUGGCUUCUAUUCACCGCUAGUCUGUCUCUCAGCUUGAUGUCAAGAAUGCCUACAAGUAGCCACCACCUAGAUUCUCUUCCUAAUGGCAUGGUUUGUCGUCUUCGUCGCUGUCUAUAUGGCCCUAAGCAAACCCCUCAUGCCUGGUUUGACCGCUUCGUCUCAGUGGUGAUUGCGGCUAGUUUUUGGCGAGUGCUCAUUAUUCUACAUUUUCGGACCACCAUUGAACUCGUGGUUGAACACUUCUUCUACAUGUCAAUCAUCACUGGCAAUGACUCUUAAGUACAUGGCCUUGGUGAAGGCUCGUCAUAGUGAAUUUCUUAUGUCCAAUCUUGGUCCUCUUUGGUACUUCCUUGAGAUUGAGGUUUUCUUCUACCUCUAACGACUUCUUUAUUUUCUAAGAGAAGUAUGUCUAGGAUCUUCUUACUCGUGCUACUCUUACUGAUACCUUUGUGACCACCUCCGCCCCCUACCAGUCUGGAUGGGCAUCCUUUGCAUUGCUGCAGGUUGCUACAAGCACUGUCUCAAUCCCACAUCGCGUGUUCCCUUUCUGUGUGACACCAUAACCGCACGCUCGAGCACCAUCAAUGGUGAGCAGGAGCUCGGACAGUCGACGCGUACCUGGAUUAUGCACGGGACGAGCCGACGACAGGCACUACCUAAAGUCGAGGCCAAGGGCGCACAGUAGGAGAACUUGGGGUGCUUAAUCAAGCACGUGGCACACAACCCGCAAACAGGAAAGGAACACCCAGCCAGAUCGGCAGGGUACGAAGAGUGCACAGGCAAGUGGGAUGCCGGAUCAAGUCCCUCUCCUGCUAGUGGUCCCAGUCUGCCUCUGUUGCCUUGUCUACCAGAUAUUUUCAAGAGUGGCAUCAUCGCCUUGGGUCACUUGUGAUCUCUCAUCCUUAGUUCGACGUGAUCUUCUUGGAUCCGUCUCCGAUGAUGUCUCUAAUACGUGGUCCAGUUACCUUAUACUCAUAGCGAGACAGUGUCUUAGCAUCCUUUAGACCUUGUUCACUCUGAUCUCGAGGGAUCGUCUCCCCCUUUUCCUUCGCUAGUGACUUCUCUCAACACACCUGGAUAUAUACUUUAUUUCUUCUCGUAAUGAGGUCUUAUCUAUAAGCCUUUUGCUGCCAUGGUCCGCACUCAAUUCUCCACGCCUAUUCAUGUGUUCUAUGGCGACUGGUGGAGAGUAUAUCUCCAAGCUGUUGCGUGGAAUCCUUGCUGAGCAGACUUUGGUUCUCUUAUCUUGGCGCUCAUGCUCAAAAUGGCAUGGCUGAGCGCAAGCAUCGUCACCUUCUUGAGACGGUUCGUCCAUUGAUGGUCACUGCCUCUCUUUCACCGCACUUUUUGGGCCAACUCUGUCUCCACUUCCAUCUAUCUCAUUAACCUUCAGCAAUGCACUGCUCUGCAGGGUGACGCUCCUUUCGAGCGUCUAUUUGAUCGUUUAUUCGGCGCUUCAAUUUUUUGGUUGUGUUUGCUAUGUCCUUCUUGCCCCGCGUGAAUGCACCAAACUGACUUCUCAAUCAGUUGAGUGUGUCUUCUUAGGAUACAACAUUGAGCAUAAGGGAUACCAUUAUUGGGACAUGUUGGGCGUCAGAUGGCUAUUUCUCUGGAUAUGACUUUUGAUGAGUCUCAUCCCUUCUACCCGUUUCCAUCUUCCUCGACCUUUUCAAUGGAGGAUAUCUCUCUCUUUUUUAAAUGCAACACUCCUAUCACUCCCUGAUCCAGUCGUCGUACUGCUCAUGCUUCUCUGAUUAUGUGGAUCCAAUGCCAUCAUCUCCUAUGAUUUCCUCACCUCGCUUAUCACAGGAUUCUACAUAUUCAUCAGUUGUGGCUUCCUUGUCUCCAUCACCUAAGUUUAUCACGUUAAUUUCUGCUCGUAUUUUUCCAUCUUUUCCUCACUUUUAUAUACAUCGUCCGCAUGUUGCGAAUAUGUCUACUGAUGAGCCACUUCCCCUCUCGGCCUACUUAUGGCUUGCUUCCUCGUCUGCUUCCGCCUGUUGACCGCCUUGGUCUUCCAAGCGUUGGCACUGGUGUUCUUGAGCCGACUUCUUAUCGUGAUGUUAUGCAUACCAAAUGGCACCUUGCGAUGGCAAGGGAGAUUAUUGCUCUUGAGCGCAUCGACAUGUGGGAUAUUGUUUCUCUUCCUCGUGUUCGUCCCAUCACUUGGUGGGAAUGUUAUGACUCACUUUGACUUUUUAUAUGUUCCUUCUUUUGAUCAUGUUCCUCGACUUUACUACACUCGUGGUUCGCGUGUUGUGGAUUCUUCUGAUAUGCCAUCUCCCUCGACGAUUAUAUCUUCUUCCGAUGGCAACGCACGGCCUCCAGCUUAACCUACUUAUGGCUUUCGAGCUCGCCCGCUUCUGCCUAUUGACCGCUAUGGUUACUGCGUAGCUCUUCCCAAGACGACUUCUUGCCAUGAGGUUGUUCAUCCCAAAUGGCUGCUUGUGAUGGCAUCGAAGAUUCAUGCUCUUGCCCGCAUCGACACGUGGAAUCUCAUUUCCCUUCCUCCUCGUGCUCGUCUCAUAACUUGUAAGUGGGUCUACAAGGUUAAGACUGAUGAUACUCUUGAACGUUACAAAGCUCGUUUAAUGGUGAGAACAUGGCCAUGACUACGAAGAGACAUUUACUCCUAUAUAUAUGGCCCACGUGACCACUCUUCACACACUUCCUCAAUGUGGCUUCUAUUCGCCGCUAGUCUAUCUCUUAGCUUGAUGUCAAGAAUGCCUACAAGUAGCCACCACCUAGAUUCUCUUCCUAAUGGCAUGGUUUGUCGUCUUCAUCGUUGUCUAUAUGGCCCUAAGCAAACCCUCGUACCUGGUUUGACCGCUUCUGUCUUAGUGGUGAUUGCGGCUAGUUUUUGGCGAAUGCUCAUUAUCCUGCACUUUCGGUCCAGCAUUCAACUCGUGGUCAAACAGUUCUUCUACAUGUCAAUCAUCACUAGUGAAAGCUCGUCAUAGUGAAUUUCUUAUGUCCGAUCUUGGUCCUCUUCCGUACUUCUUUGAGAUUGAGGUUUCUUCUACCUCUAUUGACUUCUUUAUUUUCCAAGAGAAGUAUGUCUAGGAUCUUCUUACUUGUACUACUCUUACUGUACCUUUGUGACCACCUCCACUCCCUACCAGUCUGGAUGGGCAUCCUUUGCCUUGCUGCGGGUUGCUACAAGCACUGUCUCAAUCCCACAUCUUGUGUUCCCUUUAUGUGUGACACCAUAACCGCACGCUCGAGCACCACCAAUGGUGAGUAGGAGCUCGGACAGUCGACGCGUACCUGGAUUAUGCACCGGACGAGCCGACGACAUGCGCUACCUAAAGUCGAGGCCAAGGGCACACAGUAGGAGAACUUAGGGUGCUUAAUCAAGCACGUGGCACACAACCCACAAACAGGAAAGGAACACCCAGCCAGAUCGGCGGGGUACGAAGAGUGCACAGGCAAGUGGGAUGCCGGAUCAAGUCCCUCUACUGCCAGUGGUGCCAGUCUGCCUUUGUUGCCUUGUCUACUAGAUAUUUUUCAAGAGUGGCAUCAUCGCCUUGGGUCACUUGUGAUCUCUCAUCCUUAGUUCGACAUGAUCUUCUUGGAUCCGUCUCCGAUGAUGUCUCUAAUACGUGGUCCAGUUACCUUAUACUCAUACGGAGACAUUGUCUCAGCAUCCUUUAGACCUUGUUCACUCUGAUCUCGAGGGAUCAUCUCCCCCUUUUCCUUCGCUAGUGACUUCUCUCAACACGCCUGGAUAUAUACUUUAUUUCUUCUCGUAGUGAGGUCUUAUCUAUAAGCCUUUUGCUGCCAUGGUUCACUCUCAAUUCUCUACGCCUAUUCAUGUGUUCUAUGGUGACUCUGGUGAAGAGUAUAUCUCCCAAGUUGUUGCAUGGAAUCCUUGCUGAGCAAACUUUGCUUCUCUUAUCAUGUUGCUCAUGAUCACAAUGGCAUGGCUGAGCGCAAGCAUCAUCACCUUCUUGAGACAGCUCGUCCAUUGAUGGUCAUCGCCUCUCUUUCACCGUACUUUUGGGCCAGCUUUGUCUCCACUUCCGUAUAUCUCAUGAACCUUCAGCAAUCCACUGCUCUGCAGGAUAACGCUCCUUUCAAGCGUCUAUUUGAUCGUUUAUUCGGCGCUUCAAUUUUUUGGUUGUGUUUGCUAUGUCCUUCUUGCCCCGCGUGAACGCACCAAAUUGACUUCUCAGUCCGUUGAGUGUGUCUUCUUAGGAUACAACAACAUUGAGCAUAAGGGUAUCAUUAUUGGGAUCAUGUUGGGCGUCAGAUGGCUAUUUCUCGGGAUAUGACGUUUGAUGAGUCUCAUCCAUCUUCGUCGACCUUUUCAAUGGAGGAAAUCUUUUUUUUAAAUCCAACACUCCUAUCACUCCCUAAUCCAAUUGUCGAACUGCUCAUGCUUCUCUAAUUAUUGUAGAUCCAAUGCCAUCAUCUCCUAUAAUUUCCUCACCUCGCUUAUCACAGGAUUCUACACCUUCAUCAGUCGUGGCUUCCUUGUCUCCAUCACCUGAGUUUAUACCGUUGAUUUCAGCUUGUAUUCUUCCAUCUAUUCCUCACUUUUAUAUACAUCGUCCGCGUGUUGUGAAUGUGUCUACUGAUGAGUCACUUCCCCUCUCGGCCUACUUAUGGCUUGCUUCUCGUCCGCUUCCGCCUGUUGGCCGCCUUGGUCUUCCAAGCGUUGGCGCUGGUGUUCUUGAGCCGACUUAUCGUGAUGUUAUGCAUACCAAAUGGUACCUUGCGAUGGCAGGGGAGAUUAUUGCUCUUGAGCGCGUUGGCACGUGGGAUAUUGUUUCUCUUCCUCGUGUUCGUCCCAUCACUUGGUGGGAAUGUUAUGACUCACUUUGACUUUUUAUAUGUUCCUUCUUUUACUCAUGUUCCUCGACUUUACUACACUCGUGGUCCGCGUGUUGUGGAUUCUUCUGAUAUGCCAUCUCCCUCGACUAUUAUAUCUUCUUCCGUUGGCAACGCACGGCCUCCAGCUUAGCCUACCUAUGGCUUUCGAGCUCGCCCACUUCUGCCUAUUAACCGCUAUGGUUACUACGCAGCUCUUCCCGAGACGACUUCUUGCCGUAAGGUUGUUCAUCCCAAAUGGCUGCUUGUGAUGGCAUCAAAUAUUCAUGCUCUCGCCCGCAUCAACAGGUGGAAUCUCAUUUCCCUUCCUCCUCCUGCUUGUCUCAUCACUUGUAAGUGGGUCUACAAGGUUAAGACUGAUGAUACUCUUGAACUUUACAAAGCUCGUUUAAUGGUGAGAACAAGGUCAUGACUACGAAGAAACAUUUACUCCUAUAUAUAUGGCCCACGUGACCCCUCUUCACACACUUCCUCAAUGUGGCUUCUAUUCGCCGCUAGUCUAUCUCUUAGCUUGAUGUCAAGAAUGCCUAAAAGUAGCCACCACCUAAAUUCUCUUCCUAAUGGCAUGGUUUGUCGUCUUCGUCGCUGUCUAUAUGGCCCUAAGCAAACCCCUCGUGCCUGGUUUGACCGAUUCAUCUUAGUGGUGAUUGCGGCUAGUUUUUGGCGAGUGCUCAUUAUCCUACACUUUCAGUCCACCAUUCAACUCGUGGUCGAACACUUCUUCUACAUGUCAAUCAUCACUGGCAACGACUCUUAAGUACAUUGCCUUGGUGAAGGCUCGUCAUAGUGAAUUUCUUAUGUCCGAUCUUGGUCCUCUUCGGUACUUCCUUGAGAUUGAGGUUUCUUCUACCUCUAAUGACUUCUUUAUUUUCUAAGAGAAGUAUGUCUAGGAUCUUCUUACUCGUGCUACUCUUACUGAUACCUUUGUGACCACCUCCACUCCCUACCAGUCCGGAUGGGCAUCCUUUGCCUUGCUGCGGGUUGCUACAAGCACUGUCUCAAUCCCACAUCCCAUGUUCCCUUUAUGUGUGACACCAUAACCGCACGCUCGAGCACCACCAAUGGUGAGCAGGAGCUCGGACAGUCGACGCGUACCUGGAUUAUGCACGAGACGAGCCGACGACAGGCGCUACCUAAAGUCGAGGCCAAGGGCGCACAGUAGGAGAACGUGGGGUGCUUAAUCAAGCACGUGGCACACAACCCGCAAACAGGAAAGGAACACACAGCCAGAUCGGCGGGGUACGAAGAGUGCACAGGCAAGUGGGAUGCCGGAUCAGGUCCCUCUACUGCCAGUGGUGCCAGUCUGCCUCUGUUGCCUUGUCUACCAGAUAUUUUUCAAGAGUGGCAUCAUCGCCUUGGGUCACUUGUGAUCUCUCAUCCUUAGUUCGACGUGAUCUUCUUGGAUCCGUCUCCGAUGAUGUCUGAAAUACGUCGUCCAGUUACCUUAUACUCAUAUGGAGACAGUGUCUCAGCAUCCUUUAGACCUUGUUCACUCUAAUCUCGAGGGAUCGUCUCCCCCUUUUCCUUCGCUAGUGACUUCUCUCAACACACCUGGAUAUAUACUUUAUUUCUUCUCGUAGUGAGGUCUUAUCUAUAAGCCUUUUGCUGCCAUGGUUCACUCUCAAUUCUCUGCGCCUAUUCAUGUGUUCUAUGGUGACUCUGGUGGAGAGUAUAUCUCCCAAGCUGUUGCGUGGAAUCCUUGCUGAGCAGACUUUGCUUCUCUUAUCCUGUUGCUCAUGCUCAAAAUGGCAUGGCUGAGCGCAAGCAUCGUCACCUUCUUGAGACAGCUCGUUCAUUGAUGGUCACCGCCUCUCUUUCAUCGUACUUUUGGGUCACCUUUGUCUCCACUUCCGUCUAUCUCAUCAACCUUCAGCAAUCCACUGCUCUACAGGGUGACGCUCCUUUCGAGCGUCAAUUUGAUCGUUUAUUCGGCGCUUCAAUUUUUUGCUUGUGUUUGCUAUGUCCUUACCCCGCGUGAACGCACCAAACUGACUUCUCAGUCCGUUGAGUGUGUCUUCUUAGGAUACAACAACAUUGAGCAUAAGGGAUAUCAUUAUUGGGAUCAUGUUGGGCGUCAGAUGGCUAUUUCUCGGGAUAUGACGUUUGAUGAGUCUCAUCCCUUCUACCCGUGUCCAUCUUCCUCGACCUUUUCAAUGGAGAAAAUGUAUUUUUUUAAAUCCAACACUCCUAUCUUUCCCUGAUCCAGUCGUCGUACUGCUCAUGCUUCUCUGAUUAUUGUAGAUCCAAUGCCAUCAUCUCCUAUGAUUUCCUCACCUCGCUUAUCACGGGAUUCUACACCUUCAUCAGUCGUGGCUUCCUUGUCUCCAUCACCUGAGUUUAUCCCGUUGAUUUCAGCUUGUAUUCUUCCAUCUUUUCCUCACUUUUAUAUACAUCGUCCGCGUGUUGUGAAUGUGUCUACUGAUGAGUCACUUCCCCUCUCGGCCUACAUAUGGCUUGCUUCCUCGUCCGCUUCCGCCUGUUGGUCGCCUUGCUCUUCCAAGCGUUGGCGCUGGUGUUCUUGAGCCGACUUCUUAUCGUGAUGUUAUCCAUACCAAAUGGCACCUUGCGAUGGCAGGGGGGAUUAUUGCUCUUGAGCGCAUUGGCACAUGGGAUAUUGUUUCUCUUCCUCGUGUUCGUCCCAUCACUUGGUGGGAAUGUUAUGACUCACUUUGACUUUUUAUAUGUUCCUUCUUUUACUCAUGUUCCUCGACUUUACUACACUCGUGGUCCGCAUGUUGUGGAUUCUUCUGAUAUGCCAUCUCCCUCGACUAUUAUAUCUUCUUCCGUUGGCAACGCACGGCCUUCAGCUUAGCCUACCUAUGGCUUUCGAGCUCGCCCACUUCUGCCUAUUGACCGCUAUGGUUACUGCGCAGCUCUUCCCGAGACGACUUCUUGCCGUAAGGUUGUUCAUCCCAAAUGGCUGCUUGUGAUGGCAUCGAAUAUUCAUGCUCUCGCCCGCAUCAACAGGUGGAAUCUCAUUUCCCUUCCUCCUCCUGCUUGUCUCAUCACUUGUAAGUGGGUCUACAAGGUUAAGACUGAUGAUACUCUUGAACUUUACAAAGCUCGUUUAAUGGUGAGAACAAGGUCAUGACUACGAAGAAACAUUUACUCCUAUAUAUAUGGCCCACGUGACCCCUCUUCACACACUUCCUCAAUGUGGCUUCUAUUCACCGCUAGUCUAUCUCUUAGCUUGAUGUCAAGAAUGCCUAAAAGUAGCCACCACCUAAAUUCUCUUCCUAAUGGCAUGCUUUGUCGUCUUCGUCGUUGUCUAUAUGGCCCUAAGCAAACCCAUCGUGCCUGGUUUGACCGAUUCAUCUUAGUGGUGAUUGCGGCUAGUUCUUGGCGAGUGCUCAUUAUCCUACACUUUCAGUGCUCAUUAUCCUACACUUUCGGUCCACCAUUCAACUCGUGGUCGAACACUUCUUCUACAUGUCAAUCAUCACUGGCAAUGACUCUUAAGUACAUUGCCUUGGUGAAGGCUCGUUAUAGUGAAUUUCUUAUGUCCGAUCUUGGUCCUCUUCGGUACUUCCUUGAGAUUGAGGUUUCUUCUACCUCUAAUGACUUCUUUAUUUUCUAAGAGAAGUAUGUCUAGGAUCUUCUUACUCGUGCUACUCUUACUGAUACCUUUGUGACCACCUCCGCUUCCUACCAGUCUGGAUGGGCAUCCUUUGCCUUGCUGCGGGUUGCUACAAGCACUGUCUCAAUCCCACAUCCCGUGUUCCCUUUAUGUGUGACACCAUAACCGCACGCUCGAGCACCACCAAUGGUGAGCAGGAGCUCGGACAGUCGACGCGUACCUGGAUUAUGCACGGGACGAGCCGACGACAGGCGCUACCUAAAGUCGAGGCCAAGGGCGCACAGUAGGAGAACUUGGGGUGCUUAAUCAAGCACGUGGCACAGAACCCGCAAACAGGAAAGGAACACCCAGCCAGAUCGGCGGGGUACGAAGAGUGCACAGGCAAGUGGGAUGCCGGAUCAUGUCCCUCUACUGCCAGUGGCGCCAGUCUGCCUCUGUUGCCUCAUCAUCUUGGGUCACUUGUGAUCACUCAUCCUUAGUUCGACGUGAUCUUCUUGGAUCCAUCUCCGAUGAUGUCUCUAAUACAUGGUCCAGUUACCUUAUACUCAUACGGAGACAGUGUCUCAGCAUCCUUUAGACCUUGUUCACUCUGAUCUCGAGGGAUCAUCUCCCUUUGCCUCCGCUAGUGACUUCUCUGAACACACCUGGAUAUAUACUUUAUUUCUUCUCGUAGCGAGGUCUUAUCUAUAAGCCUUUUGCUGCCAUGGUUCACACUCAAUUCUCUACGCCUAUUCAUGCGUUCUAUGGUGACUCUGGUGGAGAGUAUAUCUCCAAGCUGUUGCGUGGAAUCCUUGCUGAGCAGACUUUGGUUCUCUUAUCCUGGUGCUCAUGCUCAAAAUGGCAUGGCUGAGCGCAAGCAUUGUCACCUUCUUGAGAUGGCUCGUCCAUUGAUGGUCACCGCCUCUCUUUCACCGCACUUUUGGGCCAAGUCUGUCUCCACUUCCAUCUAUCUCAUCAAUCUUCAGCAAUCCACUACUCUGCAGGGUGACGCUCCUUUCGGGCGUCAUCUAUUUGAUCGUUUAUUCGGCGCUUCAAUUUUUUGGUUGUUGCUAUGUCCUUCUUGCCCCUCGUGAACGCACCAAACUGACUUCUUUGUCUGUUGAGUGUGUCUUAGUAUACAACGAUGAGCAUAAGGGAUAUCGUUGUUGGGAUCAUGUUGGUCGGCGGAUGGCUAUUUCUUAGGAUAUGACUUUUGUAGAGUCUCCUCCCUUCUACCAGCGUCCAUCUUCUUUGGCCUUUUAAGUGGUGCAUAUCUCUUCCCACAAUUUCCCCGAGUCGUCGUACUGCUCAUGCUUCUUUGGUUAUUGUAGAACCAACGUCAUCAUCUCCUAUGAUUUCCUCACUCGCUUAUCACAUGAUUCUACACCUUCUUCACCGGUGGCUUCCUUUGUCUCCAUCCCUUGAGUUUAUCCCCUGAUGAUUCCAGCUUCUAUUCUUCCAUUUUUUUUUCCUAACUUCUAUAUAGGUCGUCUAUGUGUUGUCGAUGCGUCUAUGUGUUGUCGAUGCGUCUACUGAUUUGUCAUCUUCCUCGUCUCAGCCUACUUAUGGCUUCCGUCCUCGUCCGCUUCGUCCUGUUGACCGCCUUGGUCUUCCAAGCGUUGGCGCUACUGUUCUUGAGCCGACUUCUUGUUGUGAUGUUGUUCAUACCAAAUGGCACCUUGUGAUGACACAGGAGAUUGCUGCUCUUGAGUGCAUCGGCACGUGGGAUAUUGUUUUUGUUCCUCCUCGUGUUCGUCCCAUCACUUGGUGGGUCUACAAGGUUAGCAUGGUCCUGAUUAUGAUGAGACUUUUGCUCUUGCAAAACUGUAUGCUUGUGACCUCUGUUCGCCACUGGUUCGUGUCUAGGCUUGAUGUUAAGAAUGUCUUUCUUAAUAGUGAGCUGCGUGAGGAGGUUUACAUACAACUUGUCUUGUGGGUCAUGGCUUUCAGCAGGAGCAUGGUCCUGAUUACUAUGAGACUUUUGGUCCUGCAAAAUUGUAUGCUUGUGGCCUCGGUUCGCCACUGGUUCGUGUCUAGGCUUGAUGUUAAGAAUGUCUUUCUUAAUAGUGAAUUGCGUGAGGAGGUUUACAUACAACCACCACCUGGGUAUUCUACUCCUUACAACAUGCUUAGUCGUCUUCAUCGCCUCUAUGGCUUUAAGAAAGCCUCUCGCGCUUGGUUUGAGCGUUUUGCCUCUAUGGUGGAUGUUACUGGUUUUCAGCGAGUGCUCAAAAUCCGACGUUGUUUGCCCUCCUUUCUGCUCUUGGUAGGACUCUUCAUAUUGAUGACAUGAUCAUCACCAAUGCAAACCGUGAGUAUAUUGCCUUUGUGAAGGCAUGUUAUGCAGUUUCUUAUGUCUUAUCUUGGCCCUCUCUGCUACUUUCUUGGGAUUGAGGUCCCUUCUUGCUCAAAAAUAAUAAUCUAGGAUCUUACUCGCGCCGCUCUUAAAGAUGAGCGCAAUGUUGAGACUCCCAUGGAGCUCAAUGUUCACCUCACUGUGCUACUGAUGUUGAUCGUUUGUCUAAUCUUACGCUUUAUCGACAUUUUGUUGGGAGUCUUGCUUUAUCGACAUUUUGUUGGGUGUCUUGUCUAUCUGCCUGACACUCGCCCGGAAGAAGAAACAGACUGCAGUGCCCCCCGUUCGAGUGCACCUCUUCCUGCGGCGCCGUCGCUCCACUUUCCUACUCUACCCUCUACUAUAUGCUCUGCGGCAUUAUCGUCGUGGCCAAGACGGUGGCAAAAUCACUAGCGUCGAUGCCUCUCGCAUGAUGUUCCUAGAGCCUUUAUCCUCUCAAGUGGCAUGAACGACCGAAGGGGACAAUGCCACCAUGGAUGUUGGCAUUCCCUCUGUUGGAUCGUGAAGUGUUUGGGAGUGAGACUAAGAGGAACACGGGAAAGGAGAUGAUGCCUAGCAUAUUAGCGGAAUGAGGCCUAAGCAAAAUUGUUGAGAUGAGUUAUAGGCCCGCUACCAAAAUGGUUGGUGUAUUCUUCUCCAAAGGGGGACACGCGUUUGAUGCAAACACGACUGAGAAGGAUAUAAUCAUACUCUAUCAAGCCCAAAUGAUAAUCUUCUUUUUUUACCCUGCUUCCAAAUAAUAAUGACCCAAACACUAAACAUAGCAUUGAUCAUAAUUCUUUAUACAUCACACCAUAUCCUUAGAAUCUACUAACAUCUAAGGCAAAUUUGAAAAUUAGAGUUUGUGAAUUAAAUAAAUGUUCACAAAUUCAAAAAAUAUGUUUGCGAAUUCGAAAAAUGUUGCCAAUUCCAGAUAUGUUCACGUAUUCAAAGAAAGUUCACGGAUUAAAAAAAAUGUGAAUUCCAAAAAUGUUCAUGUAUUCAUAAAAUGAUCACAUAUUAAAAAAUGUCCACGUAUUCAAAACAAGUUCAUGGGUUCUAAAACGAAAAAUUGUUAAAUGUUCGCGUCGAAUUCAAAAAAUGUUCGUGGAUUCUAAAACAAUGUUCACAAAUUCCAAAAAUGUUAUCGUGUUCGAAAAAUGUUUUCAUAAUUCCAAAAAUGUUAUCGUGUUCGAAAAAUGUUUUCAUAUUCAAGACAAGUAUGAAUUCCAAAAAUGUUCACGAAUUCAAAAAAUGUUCACGGAUUCUAAAAACUCUUCACAAAUUCCAAAAUUGCUCACGUAUUCGAAAAAUGUUCACAUGUUCAAAAAUUAUUCAACCAUUGGAAAAGGUUCAAAACUUUCAAAAAAUAUUCACGAAUUUGGAAAAUAUUCGGUAAUUCAAUACUUUAGCAAAUUCAAAAAUGUGAAAUGAAAAUUGUUCACAAAUUUGAAAAAGGUUCAAAAAAUUAAGAAGGAAAAAGAAAAGGCGAACACGAAGGAAAACAUAGCGUUGACCAUAAUUCUUUACACAUCACAUCAUAUUUUUUAGAAUCUACUAACAUGAAAGCCGUAUACAAAAUAGAAUAAAUCUACGCAUGUAAUUUACAUGUACCAUUAUAAUUAUAUUGUUUUAGAAAUCCUAGACCAAUGUCUAUACUCUACAGCAGCUUCUAUACUCUACAACAAUGUACGUUUGGUGUGGGUUAAUUUAUCACCAUCGUCUCGACGGUAAUCUCUAUUCCCAACCUAGGGGUGUGCAUUACACGAUUGGGAAAGAAUCUCUGAACUUCGCCAAUAAGUAACUCAACUAAACAGUUAUGUAUGUGAUUUCAAAAGAAAGAUAUAAAUGGCAAGGUGUUUAACAACUCUGCAUGCAUGUUGUAUCGUGCUUAUUGAGUGAACAAAACAAAUAUCAGGAUAGAAACUAAGAAACAGAAUGCAUACCACCAGGAACACAGCCACCACUAGCUCUGUCACAGAAUAUUGCGUGAUAAAAGCCCGCCAUGCUAACUCAGCAGCUUCCUCAGCUGACAUGUUGAAUUUGUAACUGAAAUGUAAAGCACAAACAUAAGGGAUGCAACUUCAAGAUAAUAUGAACUGUGAGCAAGGCAACAUAUAGAGGUAUAAAAAACAUACCCCUCAUCCAAGAUACCAUAAGCAUACAAAGAACUACAGAACCGGCUGCUUCCCUUGAGCCUUGCACCC
RNAcentral lists this long non-coding RNA (22038 nucleotides) under Triticum aestivum (bread wheat). RNAcentral's name for it is "long non-coding RNA (TAES_LNC003458)". The record is from RNAcentral. Lineage: Eukaryota; Viridiplantae; Streptophyta; Magnoliopsida; Poales; Poaceae.